Molecule: ribosomal RNA, 386 nt
Filed under: uncultured bacterium
Lineage: Bacteria
Description: bacterial SSU rRNA
Rfam family: Bacterial small subunit ribosomal RNA
Source: RNAcentral
GACGAACGCUGGCGGCGUGCUUAACACAUGCAAGUCGAGCGGUAAGGCCCCUUCGGGGGUACACGAGCGGCGAACGGGUGAGUAACACGUGGGUGACCUGCCCUUAGCUCUGGGAUAAGCCUGGGAAACUGGGUCUAAUACCGGAUAUGACUCCAUGACGCAUGUUGUGGGGUGGAAAGCCUUGUGCGGCUAGGGAUGGGCCCGCGGCCUAUCAGCUUGUUGGUGGGGUGAUGGCCUACCAAGGCGACGACGGGUAGCCGGCCUGAGAGGGCGACCGGCCACACUGGGACUGAGACACGGCCCAGACUCCUACGGGAGGCAGCAGUGGGGAAUCUUGCGCAAUGGGCGAAAGCCUGGCGCAGCGACGCCGCGUGGGGAUGACGGCC